This 253-nucleotide ribosomal RNA is filed under the name uncultured bacterium. Its description in RNAcentral is "partial 16S ribosomal RNA". It matches the Rfam family "Bacterial small subunit ribosomal RNA", at positions 524 to 776 of the family's 1533-position model. The record is from RNAcentral.
GACAGAGGCCUCGAGCGUUAGGCGGAAUAACUGGGCUUAAGGCGUGUGUAGGCGGCUCGUUAAGUGUCUUGUGAAAUCCCACGGCUCAACCGUGGAACUGCUGGGCAUACUGGCGAUCUUGGGCCACCUAGGGGCAGUCGGAACAAACGGUGGAGCGGUGAAAUGCGUAGAUAUCGUUUGGAACGCCGAUGGUGAAAACAGACUGCUGGGGGUGUGCCGACGCUGAGACACGAAAGCCAGGGGAGCAAACGGG